GCCACAGUAAUAACCUACAGCGUGGUGAUAUAAAUUGUAUUAUAGCGCAGUAAUUGUAUGGAUAUUAACAUGUAGCCUUUCAGCUUACCCUGAACAUUUUGUAUAAUAUAAUAGUAAACACAGGAUAUCUCAUAGUGUCGGUUUAUAGAUAGAGAAGUAGGUUGCAGAUCUGCAGACAGCAUUUCGCAGAGGCAGACAUCGCGAUGAAGGACAUUUCGAGGGUUAUGGUGUACGGGUUUCCGACCGACCAUCAUCAAAAGCGACUGAACGAAGGAGGCCACGCGAGUCAAUGCAAUGGAGCUCCAGAGGUAACGUUAACCGGUCAUGACUGUUGACUAGGCUAGCGUUAGACACUGGACAACUUUGUUGCAACUCUAGUUGAAGGAUGACAUCUUCAUCCCUGAAAAUGUUUUCAUCCUGCAGGAGGCAGGGGGAAAGAACGGUUAGUACAGCAUGCCAAACUGACCCCUGGGUGGCAGAGUGUUCCUGUGCUGCGGUGGAGAAGAGGUCCACCGGGACCAUCACCAAAGAGCUCAGGGCCCAGCUAGAUUGCGCUCACGACCAUCAGUAUACAAUCGAGUCCUGCCCCUAUUUGCCACAGAUGGAGCUGAUGGAGAGUGAGAUCAGUGAAGACCAUAACUCGCUGAGAGCUCAGAAUCACACUCAUCACAGUGCGAGCCAAAAUAUACUAUCGAUCACUUUGGGGGAGCGGGAUGGUGUUCCGAAAAUGGAGAAGGAGCAGGCCAUUCAACAGCCAAUUCAAAGAUACACCCAUCCAUAAAGGGAAUUGGAGUGGAAUUAUUUUUUCAAAUAUGUUUUUUUACCCGUUUCAAUGGACGUGCUUCCUUGUCCUGGUUCUGCUGUUUCGACACUCUCUCAACCUAUUAUUGCUCAGCUAUGAAAAGCCAACUGACAUUUGCUCCUGAGGUGUUGAACUGUUGCACCCUCUAUAACCACUGUGGUUAUUAUUUUGAUGUAAAAAGGGCUUUUGUCAAUAUAUAUUUGAUUGAUUGAUUGUUUGCUGUGCUGGAUGCUGUGUAUUCACUAACU
Molecule: long non-coding RNA, 1050 nt
Filed under: Salmo salar (Atlantic salmon)
Lineage: Eukaryota; Metazoa; Chordata; Actinopteri; Salmoniformes; Salmonidae
Description: lncRNA (ENSSSAG00000101581.1)
Source: RNAcentral